Molecule: long non-coding RNA, 3253 nt
Organism: Anopheles merus
Lineage: Eukaryota; Metazoa; Arthropoda; Insecta; Diptera; Culicidae
Exons: 2
Source: RefSeq, a predicted model, not a curated record
ACAAUAACAGCUAUGAGAGACCAGUAUGAUUUAAAAAAAAGUUUUUGGGCCCAUGAUUUAAUGUUCAAUUUAAAUCACGCUGUGAUUUGUUAGUGGAACAAAAACGGUUACGGCGCGCACUUACUCUCUUAUUACCCGUUUCAAAACUGUCAAAAACGGAUGCAAAACACACCACAUUGAUCAUUCACUGCUACGGCACGCUUCUGAACGUGGUCACGUGCCGCCAGUAACAAUUAUGGAAAGGGUAUUAAAAUACGUAAAAACGUUUUGUUCUCCCAGAAUAAUCGGAUACUCUUGAUAAUAACAAUAAAUCUAUUUUUUUAAGUUGAGCAGCCAAGAAUAUCUGUUCAAUGUAUUUUGAAACCAAAUCACCGUAACUACCUCCAUUUUUAUUUGUAGGAGUUUAUGCAUGUUCCAUAAAAUUCUUUGAAGUUUUAUGGAAUAAAUAGUGUUUAUCUGAACAUAGUGUGGGAACACUAAACAUUCUUGUGGACACAUUGCAUACAAUUCUGCCGUCAGACAAAGGCCGACCGCAUCACCUAAUCCUCCUGAUUAUGAAAAAAGCUUCAAUCUAAAUCUUACAGAAGUAGAGGGUUGAUAAACAAGCUUACGUAUGUAACCGCAGAUUGGAAGCACUAUACACUUUUACGAUGUGCAAAAUCCGCUGUAGGCUGUAGACAGCUAAAAAGAAUCAGCAUCAAGCGAACACACCUGUUAUUUUCUUGCCUAUGAUAUUUCCUUAUUCUACACCAGCGUUGCUUAUUCAGAAACGCUAUACGUUUAACGCACAUGUUGUUGGUGUUUUGUGAUGGAAUAACAGAGAGCGUUUUCAAUCUUUAUUCUAAUUUGUACUGACUUUUCGUUUUGCUUUUCGUAUACAUGUUUUCAUGCAAUCUAAAAUGUGCUUUCACUGCUCAAAAUAGUGCGACGCCUAUUCCCCGCCUGUUAAGUAAUCGUGGUUUUUAUGAGCAUUCGUCGGGUUUUUCAUAACAGGUAGAAGGCAAUCACUUCCUUUUAGAGUCUUGACCAAGCCUAACUGUGAUCACCUUGCUGGUCUGGUACAGUGGUAACAAACAUUCUAUAUUGCUUACUUUCAAUAGAGAUUAUAACAUGCCUCGAACAGAUUUCGCUUAUUUGUUAUUCUGAAAUAUUUUAAGACAUGCCUUUCACUGCUAUGCAAUGGACUUUUCCAUUGUGUUUGGAGCAGUUCAUUUUUACAGUUCGUACUUUUUGCUACUGGGUCAUUUAAGUUUCUUUAGUAGUUCAGCAUUUAUUGAACAUUUUAAACAAAUGUUUUAUUUUAAAAGCCUGACAGUUGGGUCAUUCCUCAAUUAGUGAUUCAAUUGAGUUUUUCGUUAGUUGGUCGAAUGAGACUUUUUUAUGUUCAAUGUGUAGGAAUGUUGAAGAGGCUUAAAUCAGACAAUUUUACAAAUAUUUGUGGUUGAGCUUUGUAAUCUGCUUCGUCUGUACGGUCACGAAAAUGGAUGAUUGGACUGUAACGUAACAGGUAUAUUCAAUCGCAGUUUGCCUUGGGACCAGUAGAGAGGUAGCCUAAGAGUAGUAAGAGUGGCGAGACGAUUCAGUGCGCAGUUCCUACAAUCUUCUUUUUUGUACAACACCCGCAUAAAAUCAGCCAUCGAGCCGAACAGUGUUAUGUUGGGUAUCGGCACGGUAACGGUAACGAUUCGGCAACGAAGAUGGAGAAUGAGGAAGCGAGUAGGAAAGCUAGAGAGAGAGAUAAAGACGGAAUGAUACGGUAGAGAGGAAGAUGAAAGCCUGUUUGUUUAACAUAUUUUCCUCCAACUGUAACGGCUGUUGGUGAUGUAGCUUACAAACACGUCUAUAAUGUUAAAACUAUGGAAAAAAUAUUCCAACAAUCAUGCUCCGGUUAUGCAAAUGACUAUAGACAAAAUGCAACUAUAAUUUACAUGGUUGAGAAUGAAUCGAAUUGAAACUGUUUAUCAAAAAUUUAAAAUCUGUUGAAAACCAAACAAAUGUAACAACCACAAUAAAUUGAAACGUCGAGUAAAUUGUGCCAAAGUAUGUUUUUUAAACAAUUAAGCAACAUCAUUUGGUUUUAGCUUGUCAAGAGGUAACAGGACAAAAAAAUAGGUAACACGAAAAAUGUAAUGCAAAUGAUUACUUUAUUUACAAUGAAAUUUGGUUUUUUGUUGAUUAUUAGUAAUUUUAUCUUAAAUUAGUUUUAUGGCUUAUUUUAGUUUGUUGGAUUUUUACGUUGCUGUAGAAUACUUUCAAACAUUGUUUAAAAAAGACUAACACAUAAUUUUCCCAUGAAGCAAACAAGAGAAUGAGACUUGAUUGUAGAAAUACAGGGAAAUUCGCUGAACUAUAAGAUAUCAUGCAAGGGGACAUUUUGCAAUCGUGAAAUUAUUCAUAUUAAUUUUCUAAAAUGGAAUGGUACUAUUUGAAAAAAAUAUGCUAUGAAAUGUGUGUGACACGCUUCAGUAACAAAAUUACACAUUAUAGGACUUCUAUAGACAGCUCAAUACCAAUUUCACAACCACGGGAAAUAUGUUUCCCUUGUAAAAAAACUUGUCAUAGGUUUUUAAAUUAUUAUUAAAUCGAUAUGUUUAUUGACAAAAUGUGAAAAUUAAACAUUUGUCAAAGGUGGCAAAUGUAGUUCUGAAGGAAUAAAAAAUAAAACAACCUUUUGGUAAUAGUCUCUUACUUUAUAUUCACAAUAGCAUUGCCACAUUUAGUUUUCGAAAUCUUAUGGUCGUGAACGGGUUAGGAAUGGUAGCUCGAAUGAUGUGUCAUUAGUUGAUUUUACUACAUGAAAUAUGUAGUUGCCAAUGUUGAAAUAUACGGAUUUACCAGAUUGAAAAUGAAUUCUACGGUGUUCAGUUGGCUAGAGAAACCCUGUAAACGAUAAUGAGAAUCAUGAAGCACUAUCGAGAUUUUUCCUAUUGUAUGUUCCUUAGAGAAUUUUCGAUUGGAAUCUCAUCGCUGAAUGCGAGCAUGUAUUUGAAAAGCAUAUAUUAUUACUUAGUUUGUCGAAGGAUGUACUGAUUAUGACAGAAAAUAAAAAAAAAGUUCAUAUGGUCGCUCAAAUGCCGUAAGCUCGGCAUAAUACCUGUAAAAGAAUGCUAAUUACAUCCUUAAAGAAAACAACCAUUUCAAUUUCAUCAUAGAACUUGGGAGGACGCCAAAAAUUUAAAUGCCAAAGGGAAAAAACACCCAGUCAUAGAUAACUAUGAACAAAAAGAGGCAAAACGAUCGAAUUUAUCACAAA